This 497-nucleotide ribosomal RNA is filed under the name uncultured bacterium. Its description in RNAcentral is "partial 16S ribosomal RNA". It matches the Rfam family "Bacterial small subunit ribosomal RNA", at positions 28 to 507 of the family's 1533-position model. The record is from RNAcentral.
GAUGAACGCUGGCGGCGUGCCUAAUACAUGCAAGUCGAGCGAACAGACGAGGAGCUUGCUCCUCUGACGUUAGCGGCGGACGGGUGAGUAACACGUGGAUAACCUACCUAUAAGACUGGGAUAACUUCGGGAAACCGGAGCUAAUACCGGAUAAUAUAUUGAACCGCAUGGUUCAAUAGUGAAAGACGGUUUUGCUGUCACUUAUAGCUGGAUCCGCGCCGCAUUAGCUAGUUGGUAAGGUAACGGCUUACCAAGGCAACGAUGCGUAGCCGACCUGAGAGGGUGAUCGGCCACACUGGAACUGAGACACGGUCCAGACUCCGACGGGAGGCAGCAGUAGGGAAUCUUCCGCAAUGGGCGAAAGCCUGACGGAGCAACGCCGCGUGAGUGAUGAAGGUCUUCGGAUCGUAAAACUCUGUUAUUAGGGAAGAACAAAUGUGUAAGUAACUAUGCACGUCUUGACGGUACCUAAUCAGAAAGCCACGGCUAACUACGUG